Molecule: ribosomal RNA, 106 nt
Filed under: Clostridiales bacterium
Lineage: Bacteria; Bacillati; Bacillota; Clostridia; Eubacteriales
Description: partial 16S ribosomal RNA
Rfam family: Bacterial small subunit ribosomal RNA
Source: RNAcentral
AGAUUAAACUCAAGAGUUUGAUCCUGGCUCAGGAUGAACGCUGGCGGCAUGCCUAACACAUGCAAGUCGAACGAGGUGUACUUGUACACCUAGUGGCGGACGGGUG